GAAAUUAGAGUGUGGACUUUUGAGGCACAAAACUAUUAGAUUCGACCAAAUCACUUUAUCAAAUCUGGAUAUGACUUUGUCUCCUGUAACUCACUCCUGGUAACGAGGUCUUCAAGACCUGCUGAAGGUGUUGGACCAGGAAAUGAGUGGUUGAAUGGACCCAUAGAUCCCUCAGAUUCCAUUGGGUUGAAGUCUUCACAGGUUCCUUUGGCCUACAGGAGAAUCCACAAAACAAAGGCAGCUGAAGCCAACCUGCAUUUUCUGGAGGUGCAGAUUUUCAGGUGAAGAAUCUGAUCAGAUGCUGCCGUCUCACAGCUGACUGAUUUAUGGAAAAGUGCAGACGGGACCAAAGGGUGGAAAUGAAGAUCAGACUCCUCUGUGAGAAACGUUCAGCAGCUGUACGGCAGAGCUGCUUGCAAUCUCGUCCAAGUGAGUCACUCACA
Oryzias melastigma (Indian medaka) is the source of this 443-nucleotide long non-coding RNA. RefSeq lists it as uncharacterized. The record is from RefSeq and is a predicted model, not a curated record. The transcript is spliced from 3 exons. Lineage: Eukaryota; Metazoa; Chordata; Actinopteri; Beloniformes; Adrianichthyidae.